Molecule: ribosomal RNA, 2176 nt
Filed under: human gut metagenome
Description: bacterial LSU rRNA
Rfam family: Bacterial large subunit ribosomal RNA
Source: RNAcentral
GUGGUAACACACACUGGAGGACCGAACCGACUAGUGUUGCAAAAUUAGCGGAUGAGCUGUGGAUAGGGGUGAAAGGCUAAACAAAUCUGGAGAUAGCUGGUUCUCCCCGAAAACUAUUGAGGUAGUGCCUCGUGUAUGACUCCAGGGGGUAGAGCACUGUUAUGGCUAGGGGGACAUGGCGUCUUACCAAACCAUGGCAAACUCCGAAUACUUGGAAGUUUGAGCACGGGAGACAGAGCACCGGGUGCUAACGUCCGGACUCAAGAGGGAAACAACCCAGACCGCCGGCUAAGGUCCCUAAUAUUGACUAAGUGGAAAACGAAGUGGAAAGGCUAAGACAGUCAGGAAGUUGGCUUAGAAGCAGCCAUCCUUCAAAGAAAGCGUAAUAGCUCACUGAUCGAGUCUUUCUGCGCGGAAGAUGUAACGGGGCUAAGUCAAUAACCGAAGCCGCGGAUUCACACUUAUGUGUGAGUGGUAGGGGAGCGUUCUGUAAGCCUGCGAAGGUGACUCGUAAGGGUUGCUGGAGGUAUCAGAAGUGCGAAUGCUGACAUGAGUAACGUUAAAGCGGGUGAAAAGCCCGCUCGCCGUAAGCCCAAGGUUUCCUGCUCUACGUUCAUCGGAGCAGGGUGAGUCGGCCCCUAAGGUGAGGCUGAGAAGCGUAACUGAUGGGAACAAGGUUAAUAUUCCUUGACCACCGCUGAAUGCGAAGGGGGGACGGAGUAUUGAAGAUCAUCCGGGUGUUGGAUAUCCCGGUUUGCGAGCGUAGGAGGCUGACAGGCAAAUCCGUCAGCGAAUCUCCGAGGCAAAGCAUCGAGCUCUCUUUUGAGCGAAGUGAUUGGAUGUGCUUCCAGGAAAAGCCUCUAAGCUCCAGUUCAGCGGGACCGUACCGCAAACCGACACUGGUGGGCGAGCUGAAUAUGCUCAGGCGCUUGAGAGAACUCAGGAGAAGGAACUCGGCAAAUUGACACCGUAACUUCGGGAUAAGGUGUGCCUUUGUAGCGUGGAGGGAGAAACACCCCGAGCGCGAAGAGGUCUCAGAUAAUCGGUGGCUGCGACUGUUUAUUAAAAACACAGCACUCUGCAAAGACGAAAGUCGACGUAUAGGGUGUGAUGCCUGCCCGGUGCUGGAAGAUUAAUUGAUGGGGUGCAAGCUCCUGAUCGAAGUCCCAGUAAACGGCGGCCGUAACUAUAACGGUCCUAAGGUAGCGAAAUUCCUUGUCGGGCAAGUUCCGACCUGCACGAAUGGCAUAACGAUGGCCACACUGUCUCCUCCUGAGACUCAGUGAAGUUGAAGUGUUUGUGAUGAUGCAAUCUCCCCGCGGCUAGACGGAAAGACCCCAUGAACCUUUACUGUAGCUUUGCAUUGGACUUUGAACCGAUCUGUGUAGGAUAGGCGGGAGCCUGUGAAACCACAACGCCAGUUGUGGCGGAGGCGUCCUUGAAAUACCGCCCUGAUUUGUUUGAGGUUCUAACCUGGGACAGUCAUCCUGUCCGGGGACCGUGCAUGGUAGGCAGUUUGACUGGGGCGGUCUCCUCCUAAAGGGUAACGGAGGAGUGCGAAGGUACGCUAGGUACGGUCGGAAAUCGUGCUGAUAGUGCAAUGGCAAAAGCGUGCUUGACUGCGAGACCCACAAGUCGAGCAGAUACGAAAGUAGGUCAUAGUGAUCCGGUGGCUCUGUAUGGAAGGGCCAUCGCUCAACGGAUAAAAGGUACUCUGGGGAUAACAGGCUGAUACCGCCCAAGAGUUCAUAUCGACGGCGGUGUUUGGCACCUCGAUGUCGGCUCAUCUCAUCCUGGGGCUGUAGCCGGUCCCAAGGGUAUGGCUGUUCGCCAUUUAAAGAGGUACGUGAGCUGGGUUUAAAACGUCGUGAGACAGUUUGGUCCCUAUCUGCCGUGGGCGUUGGAAGAUUGACGGGGGCUGCUCCUAGUACGAGAGGACCGGAGUGGACGCACCUCUGGUGUACCGGUUGUCACGCCAGUGGCAUUGCCGGGUAGCUAAGUGCGGAAGAGAUAACCGCUGAAAGCAUCUAAGCGGGAAACUUGCCUGAAGAUGAGUCUUCCCGGAGGUUGAACCUCCCUCAAGAGUCGUCCGAGACCAGGACGUCGAUAGGUCAGGUGUGUAAGCGCUGUAAGGCGUUGAGCUAACUGAUACUAAUUGCUCGUGAGGCUUGAUCCU